AUAUAUUUGUCACAGUUUUGUUCCGUCAGGCUUCCCGAUUGGUAGUGCGAAGCUGCGGAUGAAAAGGGAAUCGGGUGAAAGUCCCGGACAGUCCCGCUGCUGUAAGCUCCUUGAGGAGGCUUGUUUACCACUUCGAGCCACUGCCGUUUCCUGAAUGUCACAGGAAAGGCGGGAAGGCAUAACAAGCUGGAGUAAGUCAGAAGACCUGCAAAACGAUAUCGCGCUUA
RNAcentral lists this non-coding RNA (227 nucleotides) under Bacteroides sp. The record is from RNAcentral. Lineage: Bacteria; Pseudomonadati; Bacteroidota; Bacteroidia; Bacteroidales; Bacteroidaceae.